This is an RNA transcript of Globicephala melas (long-finned pilot whale), 16463 nucleotides long. It is a transcript of the gene named syntaxin 3, with no coding region annotated. NCBI's taxonomy places the organism in Eukaryota, Metazoa, Chordata, Mammalia, Artiodactyla, Delphinidae. The record is from RefSeq and is a predicted model, not a curated record.
GGUCCGCCGGGCGGAUCAGCGCUGCGCGCCGGCGCCGGCCGGGGAGCCGGAUUUGGAGUACGCGGCGCCGGCUGGGCCGGAGAGGGCGGCGCGGCGGAGCCUCCAGUGGCCUCGGACGCUCCUUCUCGCCCGCGGCCGCCGCCCGCCUCCGCCUGCUCCUCCGUCCUGGCCGGGCCCGGCCGCCACUUCCGGCCGCUCACCUGGGACGCGCUCACCUGCCUCCGGGCGCCUGGGCACCAGGAUGAAGGACCGGCUGGAGCAGUUGAAGGCCAAGCAGCUGACACAGGAUGAUGAUGCCGAUGAGGUCGAGAUUGCUAUUGACAACACAGCUUUCAUGGACGAGUUCUUUUCUGAGAUCGAGGAAACUCGACUCAACAUUGACAAGAUCUCAGAGCACGUGGAGGAAGCUAAGAAGCUCUACAGUGUCAUUCUGUCUGCACCCAUUCCAGAGCCAAAAACCAAGGAUGACCUGGAGCAGCUCACGACUGAGAUCAAGAAAAGGGCCAACAAUGUCCGGAACAAACUGAAGAGCAUGGAGAGGUGUAUUGAAGAAGACGAGGUCCGGUCGUCAGCAGACCUUCGGAUUCGGAAAUCCCAGCACUCCGUCCUCUCCCGGAAGUUUGUGGAGGUGAUGACCAAAUACAACGAGGCCCAGGUGGACUUCCGUGAACGCAGCAAAGGGCGAAUCCAGCGGCAGCUCGAGAUCACCGGCAGGAAGACAACAGAUGGGGAGCUGGAGGAGAUGCUGGAGAGUGGGAACCCUGCCAUCUUCACCUCGGGGAUCAUCGACUCUCAGAUUUCCAAGCAAGCCCUCAGUGAGAUCGAGGGACGGCACAAGGACAUCGUGAGGCUGGAGAGCAGCAUCAAGGAGCUUCACGACAUGUUCGUGGACAUCGCCAUGCUGGUGGAGAACCAGGGUGAGAUGUUAGAUAACAUAGAGUUGAAUGUCAUGCACACGGUGGACCACGUGGAGAAGGCUCGGGAGGAAACAAAAAGAGCCGUGAAGUACCAGGGUCAGGCCCGGAAGAAAUUGAUAAUUAUCAUUGUGGUAGUGGUUGUGUUGCUGGGCAUUUUAGCGUUGGUUAUUGGACUUUCCGUUGGGCUGAAGUAAGGGCGGCCCGGGAGGCUGCUGCCCUGAAAUGUAAGUAAAUGGAAGGUACUCGGGGACUCUGGAUUGGCUCCCUCUUGAGAAAUGAGCCUGGGAUUUAAAAUUCUGCUUCUUCGCCCUGUGGUUGUCCUCGGACACACCGAGCGCUCUAAGACUUCAGUACCUGUGCGUUCUUUCAUCUAUGUAACUUGCUAUUCUCGGGUCCUGGCUGCAUGCAGGGGUUGGGUCUCCGUUCGUUCCUAUUCUGUGGCUCUGUCCCCGCCCUUGUCCGCCCCUCAUGUUCACUCCCUUCCCCAGAAAGCCUGCUCCUCCUCAGUUGGGUGCAGUCUAUGUCUGCGAUCUGGGGUUUGUCUUGUGAGUUAGUACUGGCUUUCAGGUAUCUUGGGCUUUGCCUUCCGUAUCCUUUUCAGUGUAAAUGAAGCUUUGAAUCGGGAUUUGGGUCUGCAGGGUUUUGUUUGUGGUUGACUGGUUGGAUCUCGAAUGAUAAGAGUAGCUACCAUUUUUGAGGGCUGGGUUGUAUCAGACAAUGUACUAAAUAAACACCUUACACAUGCAUCACCGAGUCCUCACGUCGCCCACAUGAGACAGGUGCUAUUAUCAUCCCUAUUUUACAGAUGAAGAUGCUCAGGCUUAGAGAAGUUAGGUAACAGGGGCAAGUUUGAACACACAGCUAAUAGUGGACCUAGCUUCUCUUUGUAAAACAAGGUGGCCAUUUAUCAUCAUCUGCAAAGUCUAGAAAACCUUAGAGGAUAGCAACUUUAAAAACAAAUAUUUAUUUGGCUGUGUCAGGUCUUAGUUGUGGCAUGUGGGAUCUUUGUUGUGCCAUGGGGGAACUUCCAUUGUGGCGUGUGGGCUCAGUAGUUGCGGUGCGUGGGCUCUAGAGUGUGUGGGCUUAGUUGCUCUGUGGCAUGUGGGAUCUUAGUUCCCUGACCAGGGAUUGAACCUGCAUUGGAAGGCGGAUUCUUUUUUUUUUUUUUUUUUUUUUUGCUGUACGUGGGCCUCUCACUGUUGUGGCCUCUCCCGUUGCGGAGCACAGGCUCCAGACGCGCAGGCUCAGCGGCCAUGGCCCACGGGCCCAGCCGCUCCGCGGCAUGUGGGAUCUCCCCGGACUGGGGCAUGAACCCGUGUCCCCUGCAUCGGCAGGUGGACUCUCAACCACUGCGCCACCAGGGAAGCCUGGAAGGCAAGGAUUCUUAACCACUGGAUCACCAGGGAAGUCCCAAUAGCAACUUUAAAAUUCAGGAUAUUAAUUUCUUUAAAAUCUGGUAAAAAGAAUAGAACUGACCACUGAAUCAAGGUUUCAUGUGUACAGCAGUAGCAUGACAAGAAUCAUCUAGUUAUUGGCACUGUGAAGACUUCUGUGACCUCUUAAGUAUUAUUUUUCUGAAUAUGUUUAUCCUCCCCAGUUGUGCUCUAGGAUAACAUCAUCACCCCAUCUUCAUUGGGGAAGCUUUGUGAAGCUCAGUGAAAUUAGGAACUUGUCCAAAGCCCACACAGCUUGCAAGGCAGAGCAGGUGUGACGCCUGAACUUUUCUGCAUCUUUUUUCACUGUGCCUUUCUGCCUCCUAAGGUUAGUGGGGGAUAGGGGGACUAAGGAGAAGAAGAUUCUAGUGCCAGCAAGCUUCUGAAACUUGUAUUCGAAAGGUGUUGAUGGGAGCCCCACAGACAGAACAGGUGUUCUGCACCAGCGGUGGUGCCUCUCUUCCCAUAAGUCCUUCCACAGUGACGCGACAGCCCCUAGGAAGGGCUGUAAAAGGCCCAGGGAUUUUCCUAUUUUUUUGCCUCAUGUAACAGGGCUUUUUGUUUCUUGUACGGGGGGGUAUUUAAUUCCAGGCCCUGUCGUGGGUUUGUGCUGAGUUUUCCAUUGUUCUCUCUCUGCAGCUGUUUCUGAUCUCUCCUCUCCACCUUCUAGGUGUGUGGCUUGUGGCCGAGUCUUACUGUUCUCCGCCGCCACCCUGGGCGCUGACCAGCUCCUCCUCCCCCUGCCUCUUGUAGAGCCCAUUUCACCCCAGCCUGAUGUGGCCGCCCUUGUCUUCAGAUGGGAACGGAGUGUGAAUGGCCUUCCUGAGAGAGAGUGGGACCUGUUCCCUUGUUUUCUUGUAACCACCCUUGGACCUGACCCAGCAAACAGUCUAGCCCAGGAGAAAUCUAAACUACUGAUGCAGCCCUCAGAAUCUUCUCCUGCCCCACCAACUCUGAAGCACCUUCUCCUGGACUGUAGAAACUGCCCCAGCUUCUCCUCCCCUCUGAUGUGUCAAAUUAUGCCCUGCACCUUGGAGAACCUACCUGAGACCUCCCCAAGAAGAAGAUCAUGAUCAUGAUCUGCUGUGUCAUCCUUGCGAUCAUCUUAGCUUCUACUAUUGGGGGCAUAUUUGCCUGAAAAAACACAAAACAAAACAGUCCUCACAGAUGGAUCCUCACCUGGCAUUUUCAAUUCUUCUUCCACCUCUGUGGUGCCACCGCUUCUCCGCUGCAGAUUCCUCCAAAGCUCUUCUUUCCAUUGUGAAACCUCUUAGGACACAGGACCUCAACCACCUAGCAGUUAGAAGUUACGCAAAAGGGGAUUUACAAAAAUAUGGACUUGGAUGGCAGGCAGGGGUGAAGGAACAGGGAGUACAGCACUGCGUAGCAGGUUAGGAGGAUGGUUAAAGGAGGAGACUGCAGGGUAGAGGAGAAAGCAUAGGUACCUGUUUAGGAAAUAAACUUGGAGCCAGAGCCCACGCUGACGUUAUGGCUGAAGCACACCCGCUCAUCAGGACCUGAUUUUAACUGCCGGGAGUCAGUCAGGAUCAGGGCACUUGUUACUUCUGCUCUUCUAGUUCUAGGUCUCACCUUUGACCAACGCUCUGUCUCCUUCCUUCUUCAGGGUCCAACAUUCUCCGAGGUGAUUGUCUAACGAUAGGCCCCAGGCUAUCUCCCUCGCUGCUGUGUCCCCAGUGCUUAGCGUAGUGCCUGCCGCUUACAGCUGCUCAAGAAUCUGUUGACUUUAUCUGAAAUUAAGCUCUGAUUUCUGCUAUGGCCGAGUCCUUGGACUUGCCUCUUAAACGCUUUAAGGCAUCAGUGGGAAAUGGUCUGUGUCACAGGCCGUUUAGAAAUGCCUGGGAAUGGUCGAUCCACCCACGCAGAAGCAGAGCAGGCCCCACUUUCACAACAUACACUUUAAAGUCCUUUUUUUACGGGAGGUGGUGAUAAGAGUUCUGUCAACGGCCUCUUACUUUGCAGAGAUGGCUGGCCCCAGGAUUGUGGUUCAGUAAUUACACGUGGACCCCAAAAGAAACACGUUAUGCUGUGAUUGAACACCCAACAGUCACGAAUACCAUGCUCUGUGAACCCUAACAAAGAAGAGGUGACAAAGUUAGGUCAGAAAAACGAGGCUGUCACUCACACCCCUUCUCACUGAUGCACGUUGCCGGCUGAAACUGGCUUUGUUGGCCGGCAACUUGUGUACAAGAAACUGUUCCAAACACUGUCCCCAAUUCAAGGUUCAGGGGUGUUCUAAUGCAACUUAGGGAUUAGUUAUAGUACAAGAGGUUCACUAAAAAUAUAUUUAAAAAUCACGGUAUACAAUUCUCAAGGACCACACAGCUGCUUAAAUUUGUACUUUUGAAAGUAAAUUAUUUUCUUUGCCGGAGGUCUUACUUUUUAAGAAAGUGGGAUUUAAAAAAUUGACAUCUUAGUCUGUGUGCUGUUUUCUGCCCACUUUCAAAGCAAAUGGUUUAGUAUUUUUCCUAUCAAUCUGUAUUUCCUUUGGUUUGAAUACAGGAUAGAAACCACUGCUGGCUAGCUCUGAAAAAAUAGAUGAAUUCUGUUAAAGGCAAACAGGGAGCUGGAACCAUGGGGUUUGAAUCACCCAGGGCCCUUGUUCAUUCAACAGUAAGAUGUGAGUGCUGUGUGGCACCUGCACUGUGCUAGGACCUGUAGGGACACAGAUAUAGAGCCAAAUACCCCCCAUCCCCAGAGGGUUUCAGGCCUAGGAAAGACCACACAAUUCAGGUUUUGUUUCUAUCAGUUCCUUUUGGUAAAAGGCAAGGGUAUGUCUGUUGCCGUAUUGUCCAACAUCCCCCCUUCUAAGAUUGAGAGAAGAUGGGUAGCUGGGCGUAAAUAAAUAAGUUGAAUCAAUUAACCUAUGUACUAUUGUUUUCUUUGCUUUUCCAAAAACACUAGAAGUCUGUAACUAGUAAAAUGUCAUAGAAACUAGCUCCUUAAGUGUGUACAUAUAAAAGGCAGUACAGACAUUAAGUCUGACCUGAAUCAGAGGUGGGAGAUGCAAACGUUUGCUUCAGCCUUGAAGACAUUUAUCUUAUAGCCGGGGAGAAUCAGAGCUCCUAACAGUCAGUCAGGCCUGGUUCUUAAUCAUUUAAGGGAAUUAGUGACCAGUGAGAAGUUACAUCAUCUUGAGGUGAUGCUCAAACUUUAUUUAAUAUAAAUACAGUGCACUUAAAAAAACCUGACAGAUGACGUACAGCUUUUCAGAAAGCAUCUACUCAUAUGCUGCUCCUUGGUUAUGACAUCAGAGCUACCCAAAGACUUGAAGGACUGGCUGAGGGGAAUAAACAGCCUGUGUCCGUUUCCUGCUUACAAUCCUCACUACACACGCUCAGGCAUGUAGAACUUGCCCCAGUAUCGCCCCUUAUGGGUCAGGUCGUAGGGGCUCAGCACUUUCCGUAUCCCCAGCAUGUUGGCAGUGACAAUGCGCUCAAAGGUCCAGGGGUUUUGGUUGUUCCGUUCUCGUUCUUCUCGAUCUUUCCACAUCUUCUCUAGAGUCUCACGGCUCACGGCCUUCGCGGGGAAGGGCAACUUGUGGGCAACCUGGUUGAGGAAACCCCGUACCUCUUGGAAUUCACAACGCCCGCCCAUCUCUACUAUGAGGCGGCCAGCCUUCACAGGGGUCACGUAGUGGUCGAUGGCACCUUUGCCGCCCCCCAUGCGCUGUCCCAUACUCUUGCGGGUGAUGGGCUUGAAAGGGGCUGGUACUCGCCAUAAGGCAAACAUGUUCUUGGGGUCCAUAGACCGGUUGAUUGUCAGGCGCAUCAUUUCAAAAUGCCCCCAGUGGAGGUAGCCGCCACCCAGUGCCUAAAAGUAAAUGGAAGAAUUAGAAACAUAUGGGGAUUUAGAUAUCCUUCAUGGGAUCUAUUAUGUCUCUUCUUUUAUGGUAACUGUGGCUUCAAUGAUACACAUGAAAGUAAAAAUAUAAGUUCUAGUAAGUACCAUGGAGGAAAAGCCUAGGGUACAGUAAUAAAUGGGAACAAGGGUGGACCCGCUUCAAUGGAUAGCCAGGGAAGACCUCUUUGAGGAGGUGACCUUUAUAGCUGAGGCCAGAAUGGAACGAACCAGCCAAGGGGAAACAGAUGAGUGUUCCAGGCAGAGGAAUGGCACAUGCGAAGGCUCUGGCGCAGCAGGUGGCUUGGUGAGUCUGGGCAGAAGCCAGUGUGGCCGGAGUAGAGAGAGGAAUGGGGAACAGACUGCGUUCCGAGAGGCUGGCAGGGGCUGAUCGUGCAGGCUGUGGGAAUCGGACGUCAAAACAUCACUCUGGCUGCCUGAUGGGAACUAAAUCCUUGUCCGUAGCCAUGUGUGUAGGUACUGACGUCAAGUCUUCACGGAAGCUACUUGAUGAGUAAGGAAACAUCUGUCCCAUGUACUAAAACAUGGAUAGUUUUAUUUUGACCAGAGGCUUGAGAAAAUCUCAUGGUCUAACUAUGGGGUAAGUUAGGUACCCUCUUCCUUCUGCUUUUACAUUAUUUUCACUCUACGUAAAACAAAAAACAUUUAUGACUUAAUGCUUACUGGGUCCUGCUCAUCAGUUUAAAGAGCAACUAGUGGCAGUUCUAGUAAAACCUGUGGAGGAAGAGACGAGAAUGAACUCAAGGAGUCUAUUUUAAUCCCUGGCUUCCGUCCUAUAGCCGCUUGACGCUGGACUCACCAAGAUCGCAAAAUUGCCUUCAGUGAACUCAGUGGCUUCAGUGGAAGGUCCCCUUAUGUCACUCAGGUUUUUAGGCUCUCUUCUCACUUUUGGCACAAGUGGUACCCUUUCAACAAAUCUAAGCUUGGGCUUUUCAGGAAUGGAAACAUCUAAAAGGAGCACAGACAACCAAGAGUAAGUCAAACCACACAUCUCAAAGGAUUCAUUUUCUUCCUAGAAAGAUUUAUAACAAUCAGGUCAAAGUCUUAAAGUUACCACUCAACAACAAUUCCAGAAGUGUGUGAGGCUUAUCUUGUGGAUGCUUUUCGCUGACACUAGAAUCUUCUGAUUACGACAGUGGUUGAUGCAAAUGUUUUUGAAUCUUUUAAGAGCAGAGUUUUAACCUUCAAACCAAAAUGCUUUUUUAAAAUGCCUACUCUGUACCUAACACCUGAAAAAGGGACUGUUAGAGAAGGUACAAAGAUAUAAGAGUGUCACAGAAUAACACUAGGUAACAUUUGUGUGUGUGUGUGAAUGUUUACUAAGUGCUGGAAUUGAGCUGAGUGCUUUACAUGCAUUAUCUCAUUUAAUCGUUAAAACAACUUGAUAGCCUUGGUAUCUUUUAGGGCUUCCUUUUUAAUAUUUUUAAACCUUUAAAAGUUUAACACACACGUAUCAAAGGGCCCCAUAAAAAAAUGUGAAUUACCACAAAGUGAACACACAGACACACCCACAUAACAUCCACAUCAAGAAACACAACAUUAGGCAGGUGGUAUUUUUAAUCCAUUUUAUAGAAGAGGAACUUCAGGCCUAGAGACAUUUUAUAAUUUGGUUCGGGUCAUCCAGUCAAAACAGAAAAGCUAGACACUAUGUCACUUAAGAAAAAAUACCACACUGCCUCUCUGAUAAGAGGCAGUGGAAAGGAUACUAUAUUGUACAUCAAAAUACCUAAGUUCUCCUGCUCUGCCCAUUCUUGCUGGGAAACUUACAACCUAGUACUCCUUUGAUCAGUGCUCUUUCCUUUAUAUAUACAGGGGCUUUUCAUGCUGAGGCCUGCACUACAAUGUGGUUGCUGGGUGAGGGGCCAGACAUGCUACGUCUUUAUCAUGUCUGAGGUUUUGACAAUAUGGAAAAAAAAAUUAACUUGUGAGUCAUCUAAAGUAUUUCUACAGUAAAACAAGCAUGGCUCUGUGAUGGAGUCCAAUAUAAAACAGGAGACUUUAAGGGCUACAGAAACUGCCCCCUGCCAUUUCUAUAUGUAGCUACACAGAAACUUAGUAAUGCUUUCUCUUGCCUCCACGGCCAUAUGUACUCCAGUGCAUGUAGUAGUUUCUCAAUUAUGUGUAGAAGAUAAGGCCCUCAGAGGUCAAGGCCGCUCUCAUUGUUUUUGAGAUUUCCAAUAUAUUAAAAAAAAAAAGGUAAGUUAGAUAUACCAAAUUGUGGCUUACCUUCAUUGUUUAUAUUAACAGAUUAAUGCUUUUCACAUAAUAUUGUUGCUGCCUGCACAUGUGUAACCUCAUUUGGAGAAAACAUCAAAAGUCUCAGUUGAGGCCAGUUAGGUUUAGCUGAGUGGGCAGCUGUGGGCCACGCACCAGUGGUAGGCCAUAUGGGAGAUAUCCCAUGACAGGUUGGCUCCCUAAAAGCAGGAGCCUUUUUGAGUCUCUUGUUCUUCGAUUUCUCUCUAGCGUUUAGAACACUGCCUGGCAUACAGUAUGUCUUCAAUACAUAAUUACUGAAUGGGUGAAUGGGGAUAGGGGGCACAAGAACACGCCUACUCUUUACCUAUCCUCUGCUGGGUUCCAUCACAGAAAAGGCUUACAAACAGGAAAACGGAUAAGCUCUCACCUUCAAAAGUGGGCACCGGGAGCAGCGUCUUUAGGCCAGCGCUGGCGGGCGGCGCUGCCCAAGAAUCUACAAAGACAGAUCAAGUUAAACGACGAAGGCCAGGGCUUGGUACACUCUGGGCCAAAUACGCUCCUGACAGAGGUGUCCUGUGGGUUUGGGACGUGGGUUCCACUAAAGGGGCUCACAGGCACUGCCCCCCGCCCCCAAAGACAAGCCGGGGACUCUGGGCGCCGAUCCCCAGGUUGCACGAACGCUGUUGACCCUUUUGCACGAAUCUUAUGGCGGGAGGGGCGGCAGCAAAGGGCAGCCCUUCCCCGUGCUUCCGCAACCGUGCGCAGAGUCUUGGGACCGUGCGAGAUACCCGAUGCGGGGGAGGGGUGUGGAGAGAGGCAAGGCCUGGAGGGAUCAGGGGAUUUCUGACCUAACAAACGCGCCCGCAGGACGGGCGCGCGGGCGCGAGCCAGCAGCCGCCACAUGGUCGCGCGCGUGCGGUCGCGUCGGGCUCCCCACGGCGACCGCAGCGAACACUUCGACGGGGGCACGGAACGCGGCACUCUCGAGACACGCCGAAACCGGCUCCGGCUCCCACCUGGUCGGGCCGGAAGUUGCGUUCGCGCCGGUCCCCCCUGCAGUGAGGGCGGGUAAAGCGGAAGAAACCGGAGCCUCGGAACGUGGGUUCCGGCCUGGUGUGUGCGGGUCCCGCCCCGCGUUCUUUCUGGGGUCUCUCCGGAGAUGAGGGCGGCAGGGCAGGGGGUUCUCUCCCCGCAGUACCAUGCUGAGAAAGCCUGGGUUCGUAUGGCAAGUUGGUUCCUUACAAUUCACUACGUUACGCCGCGUCUCUAGCCCCCUUCUCUCCCGCAAGACGUUAGAAAAAAGCGAAGGACUCAUCACUGUCUUAACAUUUACUGGGCUCUUGCACGGUGUCGGGCGAGGAGUUACUCUUCAAUAAAAACGGACACUCCUGAGGAGCUGAGUCAAGAUGGCACAGCGGGAAGACCCUGAGUUCACCUCCUCUCAUGGGCACACCAAAAAUGACAACUAUUUAUAGAGCAACUAUUGAUGAGAAAGACUGGAAUCUACCGGAAAAGAUCCUCUACAACUAGAAAUAUAAAGAAGGAACCACAACAAAACAGGUGUGGUUGGGGGAGGAUAUGGUAUAGUCAAGACCCACAUCCCUGAAUGGGCAACCCGCAAACAAGAGGAUAAUUUUACAAUUUCAGAGUUCUCCCCAAGGAGCAAGGGGCCUAAGCCCCACAUCAGGCUCCCCAACCUGGGGGUCCUGCACUGGGAGGACAAGCCCCCCAGAACACUUGGGUUUGAAGGCCAGUGGGGCUUGAUUUUAGGAGACCCAGAGGCUGUGGGAAACAAAGACUCCACUUUUAAAGGGCUUUCACAAGAUCUCACACCUUCUAGGACCCAGGGUAGAGCAGUAAUUUGAAAGGAGCCUGGGUCAGACUCACCUGCUGAGCUUGGAGAGGCUCCUAGAGAGGCAGGAGGCAACUGGAGCUCACCCUGGGGACAUCGGCGCUGGUGGCAGCCACUUUUUGAAGCUUGUUCUAUCACAUGGACAUGGGUGCUGGCAGGGACCAUUUUGUAAUCUUCCCUCUAGCUUAUUAGCCUCAGGACUGCCCAGCCCUGCCCACCAGCCUGUAGGCACCAAUACUGGAAUGCCUCAGGCUAAGCAACUAGCUGGGUGGGGGGGACACAGCCCCAUCCACUAGUAGGCAGGCUGCCUUAAGACCCCUGAACCCACAGCCAUCCCUGGGCAUGGCUCUGUCCACCACAGAGCCCAGGACCUGGCCCAGUACGCAGGCACUAGACUGGAUAUCCCAGGGCCCUACAGCCAGAGAGUCUGGGACACAGCUCUGCCCACCAGUAGGCAGCACCAGUCUGGGGACCUGCUGGAUCUCAGCCCUACUCACUAGUGGGCUGACACAAGCUUCAGGACACCCUCAACCCUGCAGCCAGCUGUGUCAGGAACUGGCCUCACCCACCAGGAGGCUGACACUAGAUCUGGGAAUUCUGGCCCCAUAACCACUCAACCCAGAACCUGGCUCUGCCCACCAGUGAGCCAGCACUACCCCAGAGACCCCCAGAUUUUCACAGCCAGACUUCUCAUGACCUAGCUCAGCCAACCAGCAACUGGCAGCCUCCAGGCAGGCCCUGGCAACCAAUCAGACCUGGGACCAGCCAUGCCUACAAGACCACUCAUAGCCCACCACAUCAGAAGGACCCACACAGCCUGCAUGACGGGGGUGGGGGGGAAUCCCUAGAAGAUAUAGCUCUGGUGACCAGGGGGCAGUGCACUGCUGGGACACAUAGGACAUCGCCUACAAAGGGCCACUUCUCCAAGGCUGGGAAAUGUAAUCAACCUACCAUAUACAUAAAAAUAAAAACUGCAAAUUAGGCAAAAUGAGGAGAUAGAUGAACAGGUUCCAAAUGAAGGAGCAAGAUAAAACCCCCAAAGAAGAACUAAGUGAAAUGGAGAUAGGCAAUCUAACGGAUAAAGAGUUCAAGGUAAUGACCAUAAAGAUGCUCAGGGAACUCGGGAGAAGACUGGGUGAACAGAGUGAGAAUGAGAAGUUUUUAAUGAAGAGUUAUAAAAUUUAAGAAGACACAAACAGAUGAAGAAUACAAUAACUGAAAUGAAAAAUACACUAGAAGGAAUCAACAGUAGAUUAAAUGAUACAGAGGAACAGACCAGCAAGCUGGAAGACAGUAGUGGAAAUUACUGACGCUGAACAGAAAAUAGAAUGAAAAGAAGGGAGGACAGUUUAAGAGACCUCUGGGCCAACAUCAAACAUCCUAACAUUCACAUUAUAGGGGUCCCAGAAGGAGGAGAAAGAGGAAAAGGUCUGAGAACGUAUUUGAAGACAUAAUAGCUGAAAACUUCCCUAACCUGGCAAAGCAGUCACCCAAGUCCAGAGAGCACAGAGGGUCCCAAACAGGAUUAAUCAAAAGAGGUCCACACCAAGACACAUUGUAAUUAAAUGGCAAAAAUUAAAGACAAGAGAAUAUUAAAACCAGCAAGGGAAAAACAAGUCACCUACAAGGGAACUCCCACUAGGCUGUCAGCUGAAUUUUCAGCAGAAACUCUGCCAGCCAGAAAGGAGUGGCAUGAUAUAGUUAAAGUGAUGAAAGGGAAACGCCUACAACCAAGAAUACUCUACCCAGCAAGGCUCUCAUUCAGAUUUACAGACAAGCAAAAGCUAAAAGAGUUCAGCAUCACCAAACCAGCUUUAUAAGAAAUAUUAAAAGGACUUCUCUAAGCAAAAAAGAAAAGGCCACGACUAGAAACAUGAAAAUCAUGAAAGGAAAAAGCUCAUCAGGAAAGGUACAUAUACAAUACAGGUAGUAAGUCAACCAUGUACAAAGGAAGGUUAAAAGACAAAAGUAGUAAAAUGAUGUCUGCAAUAAGCAGUUAAGGGACACACAAAACAAAAAAAUGUAAGGUAUGGUGUCAAAAACAGUCAUCAUGAGGAGAGGGUAGUAAAAAUGAAGGGUUGUUAAAAUGCAUUUAAAAUUAAGUGAUCAGCAACUUAAAAUAAUCACAUAUAUGUAUAUAGGUUGCUUUAUAUUAACCUCAUGGUACCCAGAAACCAAAAAUAUAUAAUAGAUACACAAAAAAGAGAAAGAGUUAUUAUAUAUGUUUAACUAAAAGAUUCAAACUCAUAGAAGCAGACAGUUAAAUGGUGGUUGCCAGGACUGGGGGAGGGGAAAUGAGGAGUUUUUAUUUAACAGGUACAAAGUUUCAGUUUAGGCAAGAUGAGUGAGUUCUAGGGCUCUGUUGUACAACAUUGUGCCUAUAGCUAACAAUAUUGUAUGGUACACUUUUUAAGAGGGUAGAUCUCAUGUUAAGUUUUUUUACCACAAUACAAAAUAAUCAAACAUUUCUGUUCCCAAAGUUGCCGUAAACACUGUUAAGAAAUAACAUAAUACUUUGCAAAUCCACAAGGAUUAGUAUCCAGAAUGUAUAAAGAAUGUCAUGCAAAUCAACUGAAAAACAAAUUCUGCUCAAUAUGCUAUAAUAAUGUAAAUGGGAAAAGAAUUUGAAAAAGGAUAGAUGUAUGUGUAUAUAUAACAGAAUUCCUUUGUUGUACACCUGAAACUAUCACAACAUUGUUAAUCAACCAUACUCCAAUAUAAAAUGAAAAAUAAAACAAAUUCUGAUACAAAAUGGACAAAAGCCAUCAACAGGGAGUAUACAAAAGAGGAAAUGUGAUAAAAAGCAAUCUCAUUAGUAAUCAUGACACAGUUAAUUAAAAUCCAGAAGCACCCUUUUCCCCUUCCAGACUGGCAAAUAUUGUUUCCUGAAACCAAGUGUUGGUGAGGGUGUGGAGAAACUCUAGAGGGAGGAUAAACAAGUACAAUAACUGUAUUGAGGAAUUGCUAACUAUCUAGGAAAUAGUAGAAUUGUAUACUCUGUGUGUGUGCACAUAUACACGCUCAUGCACCCUAGCAUUUCCACUCCCUUGGAACUGCACCCUAGAAGGAACACUCAUACAUACGCAGGAGGAGCUGUGUACAAGGAUGUAAAGAGCAACAUUAUGAAAACUAGCAACUGGUGGCAAGUUAAAUGUCCUUCAGCAAAGACUGGACACAUAAUUUGUGGCAUGAUCAUACAAUAAAAUAUCGAAAGCAAUAAUGAACAAAGAUGUACAAAACAAUAGUAUAUAAUAUUCAUGGCUGCAUGAUACUUACAGAUCCAGAAAUUCUAUUGUCAUACAUUUCUGGCCUAUAGAACUAGUCCACAUCUCAGAAACAAGGAGGAGCAGCCACCCUAGUAGUAGGAAGCCCUUCAUUUGGUCAAACCCUGAGCCAAAGCCCACUCAGGAAACAGGAAGUUGUGAGGGGCCGGCUGCUUCCUGAGUUAUAGCAGCCGAAGCCAUGCUCAGAGGUUGGUAGUUAACCACAUUUUGGACAGCAUUAGAGAAGGUCCUAUUAGCUCAACCUCCUACAGUUUGGUAUUUUAUGCUCAAAAUUGCAGAUUAGUGGGACACGUAAGCAAAAUGUACCAUGUGAGGGUUUCUAGAACUUUGUCAUCUUUAGGCCUGUGAAAGUACCGUUACAUUGUCAUAGAGCUGUUGAUUCAGAUUUAGGGAGUUGUGGAGGCUUGUAACGGCCCACUCUCUUGUGUAACUCCUUCUCUGUCAGUGUGGUAGAAGCUGUGAAUGUGCUGAAAUGUCAUUCCUGUAAUUAUGUUACUUUAUAGGGCGAAGGGGAUUUUUUUUUUCAGUUGACUUUGAGUUAAUCAAAAUGGAGAUGAUCUGGGUGGGACUAAUCUAAUCACACAGGCCCUUUAAAGGCAGAGAGUUUUCUCUAGCUGGUGGCAGCAGUCAUCAGAGAGAUUUGGGAACGUGAGGAGGAUCAGCCCUCUUGCUGGUCUGAAGCUGGAGGGGGCCAGGUGAGAGGACACACAGGCAGCUUUCAGGAGCUGAGAAGCACCUGGUUGAGAGCCAGCAAGGAAAAGGGACCUCAGGUCUAUAACCGCAAGGAACUGAAUUCAGUCAACAUCCUGAAUGAGGCUGGAAGCAGAUUCAAAGCCAGAUCCUGCAGAUAAAAGCUCAGCCUGGCCGCCAUGUUGAUUUUGGCCUCAUGGGAACCUAAACGGAGAACCCAGUUGAUCCUGCUUGGACUUCUCACCUAUAGAACUGUAAGGUAAUGAGUGGUAUUGCUCUGUGUUGCCAAAUUUAUGGUGAUAUGUUAUGUAGCCAUAGGAAACUAAUACAGAGGGUGUUUUGGGUGCUUGAGAAAAUGGAAAGAUCACAGUUGCUGGACCCCAGUGAGGUGGGAAAGAAUAGUAGGGAAUACCAUGCAACAGUGAAGAGGAAUACAUUUGAUUUGAUUUAAAAACAUGCAUGUAGCUCAAACAGAAAGGUAAAUGAAAAAUGCAAGAGAAAACCGUAAGGUAUAGUGCACCAAACUAUUUAGAAAUAUACAUUAAAAUAUAUUUUUCACAUUUGUACAUAUAUGUUAAAAAUUUUGGAAAGUAGUAUGGAAGGAUAUAUAGUAAAUAUUUUUAAGUGUGACCAAUAAUAGUAGGAUAUGGAAUUGGCGAGGCUGAAUUAAGGAAAAAAGUAAUAAGAGGGUCUUUACAUAGAUGAAUGAUGCUAGGUGGCCAUGCUAAAGAGUAUGGUCAACAGCGUUCUGUCUCCUGAGAUUCACAAUUACAGCACAUAGUAGAACAAAACAGUAGAUAAGAGAAAAAAACAAAAAAUCAAUUCAAUUAUAAUUAUAGCUAAUAUUAAGCAUUUACUAUGUGCCAGAUACUUUUCUAAUUAUGUAUUUGUAUUAACAUACUUAGUGCUUCCAAUAAGCCUAUGAGAGAGGUACUCUUAUAGUCCCAUUUUGCGUUCAUUUGUACACAGUUUAGGUAGCUUACAUAAUGUCACACAGAUAGUAAGAGUCCAUAGAAAUGAAAAUCUAGUAGUCUGUUUCCAGAAUCUAUUUUCUUAACCACUGUGCUAAGGUAGGUCACGGAGUCUCAUUUCCAUCAAUGGAUUUCAUCUCCAUCAGCAGUCUUCAUAUUGGAAUAUUUCUAUGCGUGAGAGUACACAAAGACUUUCCAGGGGGAGUUCAUGCAGCAAUAAUUUCAGUGCAUUUAAUUUCCAGAGUCUCAACUGCCAUUUAUACUCUUUCCAAACACUGAUCUUCCAGAGAAGAAACAUGAGUUCUCAGUGUCCUUUUAUUUUACAAAUAUAAAAUAUCACUUGGGUUGGUCUUGCCCAACCCAAGUGAUAUUCUUUGAUGGCACGGGUAAUAAAAACUGGAGUGCCAACCAAAAUAAAACAUUGAAACACUGGCUUAGUAACACUUCCUUCAUCAAGACAAGGGGUCAGCAAACUUUUUCUGGAAAGGGCCAGGUAAUAAGAAUUUUAGGCUUUGUGGUUUCUUUCACAGCAACUCAACUCUGAUGUUAUAGUGAAAAGCAGUUUAAGUAAAUGAAUGAACGUGGCUGUGUUUCAGGAAAAUUUUACUCGUGGGCUGUAGUUUGCCAACCCCGUUUCUGUCUUUCCUUAUCUUAUGCAUAUUUAUAUUAAGGGUGAAGCCUGGCAUCACGAAUGGAGAAAUUUGACCAGGAUAGAAUGCUCUGAAUUCAAACGGUCAAAAAAUUAUCGGUUUCUGAUGCUGAUUAUUUUUAUUUAAUGUUUUAAUUGAAAAUAUUAAAAAAAUUUAAGACACAUUGUAUCAAACCCAUGGAUAAAAUUGGAUGUGAUUUUUUUUUUAAUGAAGUAUAGCUGAUUUAUGUUGUGUUAGUUUCAGGUGUACAGCACAGUGAUUCAGAUAUAUAUAUAUAUAUAUGUAUAUGUGUAUCUACGUGUGUGUGUAUAUAUAUAUAUAUAUAUUCUUUUUCAGAUUCUUUUCCCUUAUAGGUUAUUACAAAAUAUUGAGUAUAGUUCCCUGUGCUAUACAGUAGGUUCCUGUUGGUUAUCUGUUUUAUAUAUAGUGGUGUAUAUAUGUUAAUCCCAAACUCCUAAUUUAUCCCUCUUCCCUCCUUUUCCUCUUUGGAAACCGUAAGUUUGUUUUCCAUGUCUAUGAGUCUAUUCUCUUUUGUAAAUAAGUUCAUGUUAUCUUUUUAAAAAAAUUCCACAUAUAAGUGAUAUCAUAUGA